RNAcentral lists this ribosomal RNA (465 nucleotides) under Vreelandella stevensii. RNAcentral's name for it is "partial 16S ribosomal RNA". It matches the Rfam family "Bacterial small subunit ribosomal RNA", at positions 338 to 795 of the family's 1533-position model. Lineage: Bacteria; Pseudomonadati; Pseudomonadota; Gammaproteobacteria; Oceanospirillales; Halomonadaceae. The record is from RNAcentral.
CCUACGGGGGGCUGCAGUGGGGAAUAUUGGACAAUGGGCGAAAGCCUGAUCCAGCCAUGCCGCGUGUGUGAAGAAGGCCUUCGGGUUGUAAAGCACUUUCAGUGGGGAAGAAAGCCUUGGGGCUAAUACCCUCGAGGAAGGACAUCACCCACAGAAGAAGCACCGGCUAACUCCGUGCCAGCAGCCGCGGUAAUACGGAGGGUGCGAGCGUUAAUCGGAAUUACUGGGCGUAAAGCGCGCGUAGGCGGUCUGAUAAGCCGGUUGUGAAAGCCCCGGGCUCAACCUGGGAACGGCAUCCGGAACUGUCAGGCUAGAGUGCAGGAGAGGAAGGUAGAAUUCCCGGUGUAGCGGUGAAAUGCGUAGAGAUCGGGAGGAAUACCAGUGGCGAAGGCGGCCUUCUGGACUGACACUGACGCUGAGGUGCGAAAGCGUGUGUAGCAAACAGGAUUAGAUACCCCGGUAGUC